UGGAUCCAGACUUUGAUCAUGGCUCAGGACGAACGCUGGCGGCGUGCUUAACACAUGCAAGUCGAACGGAGAACUUAUUUCGGUAAGUUCUUAGUGGCGAACGGGUGAGUAACGCGUGGGCAACCUGCCCUCCAGUUGGGGACAACAUUCCGAAAGGGAUGCUAAUACCGAAUGUGCUCCCUCCUCCGCAUGGAGGAGGGAGGAAAGAUGGCCUCUGCUUGCAAGCUAUCGCUGGAAGAUGGGCCCGCGUCUGAUUAGCUAGUUGGUGGGGUAACGGCUCACCAAGGCGAUGAUCAGUAGCCGGUCUGAGAGGAUGAACGGCCACAUUGGGACUGAGACACGGCCCAAACUCCUACGGGAGGCAGCAGUGGGGAAUCUUCCGCAAUGGACGAAAGUCUGACGGAGCAACGCCGCGUGAGUGAUGAAGGUCUUCGGAUUGUAAAACUCUGUUGUUAGGGACGAAAGCACCGUGUUCGAACAGGUCAUGGUGUUGACGGUACCUAACGAGGAAGCCACGGCUAACUACGUGCCAGCAGCCGCGGUAAUACGUAGGUGGCAAGCGUUGUCCGGAAUUAUUGGGCGUAAAGAGCAUGUAGGCGGGCUUUUAAGUCUGACGUGAAAAUGCGGGGCUUAACCCCGUAUGGCGUUGGAUACUGGAAGUCUUGAGUGCAGGAGAGGAAAGGGGAAUUCCCAGUGUAGCGGUGAAAUGCGUAGAUAUUGGGAGGAACACCAGUGGCGAAGGCGCCUUUCUGGACUGUGUCUGACGCUGAGAUGCGAAAGCCAGGGUAGCAAACGGGAUUAGAUACCCCGGUAGUCCUGGCCGUAAACGAUGGAUACUAGGUGUAGGAGGUAUCGACCCCUUCUGUGCCGGAGUUAACGCAAUAAGUAUCCCGCCUGGGGACUACGAUCGCAAGAUUGCAACUCAAAGGAAUUGACGGA
This 939-nucleotide ribosomal RNA is filed under the name uncultured Bacillota bacterium. RNAcentral's name for it is "bacterial SSU rRNA". It matches the Rfam family "Bacterial small subunit ribosomal RNA", at positions 1 to 917 of the family's 1533-position model. The record is from RNAcentral. Lineage: Bacteria; Bacillati; Bacillota.